RNAcentral lists this ribosomal RNA (814 nucleotides) under uncultured bacterium. RNAcentral describes it as "bacterial SSU rRNA". It matches the Rfam family "Bacterial small subunit ribosomal RNA", at positions 8 to 811 of the family's 1533-position model. The record is from RNAcentral.
AGAGUUUGAUCCUGGCUCAGGAUGAACGCUAGCUACAGGCUUAACACAUGCAAGUCGAGGGGCAGCAUGGUCUUAGCUUGCUAAGGCCGAUGGCGACCGGCGCACGGGUGAGUAACGCGUAUCCAACCUGCCUUACACUCUUGGACAGCCUUCUGAAAGGGAGAUUAAUACAAGAUGUUAUCAUGAGUAAGCAUUUUCGCAUGAUUAAAGGUUUACCGGUGUAAGAUGGGGAUGCGUUCCAUUAGAUAGUAGGCGGGGUAACGGCCCACCUAGUCUUCGAUGGAUAGGGGUUCUGAGAGGAAGGUCCCCCACAUUGGAACUGAGACACGGUCCAAACUCCUACGGGAGGCAGCAGUGAGGAAUAUUGGUCAAUGGACGAGAGUCUGAACCAGCCAAGUAGCGUGAAGGAUGAAGGUUCUAUGGAUUGUAAACUUCUUUUAUACGGGAAUAAACGAAUCCACGUGUGGAUUUUUGCAUGUACCGUAUGAAUAAGGAUCGGCUAACUCCGUGCCAGCAGCCGCGGUAAUACGGAGGAUCCGAGCGUUAUCCGGAUUUAUUGGGUUUAAAGGGAGCGUAGAUGGGUUGUUAAGUCAGUUGUGAAAGUUUGCGGCUCAACCGUAAAAUUGCAAUUGAUACUGGCAGUCUUGAGUACAGUUGAGGUAGGCGGAAUUCGUGGUGUAGCGGUGAAAUGCUUAGAUAUCACGAAGAACUCCGAUUGCGAAGGCAGCUUACUAACCUGUAACUGACAUUGAUGCUCGAAAGUGUGGGUAUCAAACAGGAUUAGAUACCCUGGUAGUCCACACGGUAAACGAUG